CCUACGGGAGGCAGCAGUGAGGAAUAUUGGUCAAUGGUCGUAAGCCUGAACCAGCCAAGUAGCGUGAAGGAUGACGGCCCUAGGGGUUGUAAACUUCUUUUAUACGGGAAUAAAGUGCGGCACGUGUGACGUUUUGUAGGUACUGCAUGAAUAAGGAUCGGCUAAUUCCGUGCCAGCAGCCGCGGUAAUACGGAGGGUCCGGGCGUUAUCCGGAUUUAUUGGGUUUAAAGGGAGCGUAGAUGGCAGGUUAAGCGUGGUGUGAAAUGCGGUGGCUCAACCGUAGAAUUGCUGUGCAUACUGGCAGGCUUGAGUGCAGGUGAGGUAGGCGGAAUUCGUGGUGUAGCGGUGAAAUGCUUAGAUAUCACGAAGAACUCCGAUUGCGAAGGCAGCUUACUAAACUGCCACUGACGUUGAGGCUCGAAAGCGUGGGUAUCAAACAGGAUUAGAUACCCGUGUAGUC
Molecule: ribosomal RNA, 460 nt
Filed under: uncultured bacterium
Lineage: Bacteria
Description: partial 16S ribosomal RNA
Rfam family: Bacterial small subunit ribosomal RNA
Source: RNAcentral